GAUGAACGCUGGCGGCGUGCCUAAUACAUGCAAGUCGAGCGAACAGACGAGUAGCUUUCUCCUCUGACGUUAGCGGGGGACGGGUGAGUACCACAUGGAUAACCUACCUAGAGGACUGGGAUAGCAUCGUGAAACCGGAGCUCAUAUGGGAUAAUGUUUUAAACGGCAGGGUUCAAUACUAUAAUUCGCUUUUCCUCUUUCUUACAGACGGUUCCGCGCCGCAUUAGCUAGUUGGUAAGGUAACGGCUUACCAAGGCAACGAUGCGUAGCCGACCUGAGAGGGUGAUCAGCCACACUGGAACUGAGACACGGUCCAGACUCCUACGGGAGGCAGCAGUAGGGAAUCUUCCACAAUGGGCGAAAGCCUGACGGAGCAACGCCGCGUGAGUGAUGAAGGUCUUCGGAUCGUAAAACUCUGUUAUUAGGGAAGAAAAAAUGUGUAAGUAACUAUGCACGUCUUGACGGUACCUAAUCAGAAAGCCACGGCUAACUACGUG
RNAcentral lists this ribosomal RNA (497 nucleotides) under uncultured bacterium. RNAcentral's name for it is "partial 16S ribosomal RNA". It matches the Rfam family "Bacterial small subunit ribosomal RNA", at positions 28 to 507 of the family's 1533-position model. The record is from RNAcentral.